CCUACGGGUGGCAGCAGUAGGGAAUAUUGCUCAAUGGGGGAAACCCUGAAGCAGCAACGCCGCGUGGAGGAUGACGGUUUUAGGAUUGUAAACUCCUUUUGUGAGAGACGAUAAUUACGGUAACUCACGAAUUAGCACCGGCUAACCACGUGCCAGCAGCCGCGGUAAUACGGAGGGUGCAAGCGUUACUCGGAAUCACUGGGCGUAAAGAGUGCGUAGGCGGGCUUGUAAGUCAGAUGUGAAAUCCUGUAGCGUAACUACAGAACUGCAUUUGAAACUAUGAGUCUAGAGUGUGGGAGAGGUAGGUGGAAUGCGUGGUGUAGGGGUGAAAUGCGUAGAUAUCAAGAGGAAUAC
Molecule: ribosomal RNA, 354 nt
Filed under: uncultured bacterium
Lineage: Bacteria
Description: partial 16S ribosomal RNA
Rfam family: Bacterial small subunit ribosomal RNA
Source: RNAcentral